GUGGGGAAUAUUGGACAAUGGGCGCAAGCCUGAUCCAGCAAUGCCGCGUGGGUGAAGAAGGUCUUCGGAUCGUAAAGCCCUUUCGACAGGGACGAUGAUGACGGUACCUGUAGAAGAAGCCCCGGCUAACUUCGUGCCAGCAGCCGCGGUAAUACGAAGGGGGCUAGCGUUACUCGGAAUUACUGGGCGUAAAGGGCGCGUAGGCGGCUCUGUUAGUCAGGCGUGAAAUUCCUGGGCUUAACCCGGGGACUGCGCCUGAUACUGCAGGGCUUGAGGCCGAGAGAGGGUGGUGGAAUUCCCGGGGUAGAGGUGAAAUUCGUAGAUACUGGGAAGAACACCGGUGGCGAAGGCGACCACCUGGCUCGGUUCUGACGCUGAGGCGCGACAGCGUGGGGAGCAAACAGGAUUAGAAACCCCGGUAGUCC
RNAcentral lists this ribosomal RNA (425 nucleotides) under uncultured bacterium. Its description in RNAcentral is "partial 16S ribosomal RNA". It matches the Rfam family "Bacterial small subunit ribosomal RNA", at positions 354 to 796 of the family's 1533-position model. The record is from RNAcentral.